Molecule: ribosomal RNA, 365 nt
Filed under: uncultured eukaryote
Lineage: Eukaryota
Description: partial 18S ribosomal RNA
Rfam family: Eukaryotic small subunit ribosomal RNA
Source: RNAcentral
CAAUAGCGUAUAUUUAAGUUGUUGCAGUUAAAAAGCUCGUAGUCGGAUUUUGGCUGAGAACGAACGGUCCGCCGUUAGGUGUGCACUGUUUGGUCUCAGCUUCCUGGUGAGGAGGUGUGCUUCACGGCCACUUAGUCACCGUGGUUACUUUGAAAAAAUUAGAGUGUUCAAAGCGGGCUUACGCUUGAAUAUAUUAGCAUGGAAUAACACCAUAGGACUUCUGUCCUAUUUCGUUGGUCUCGGGACGGGAGUAAUGAUUAAGAGGAACAGUUGGGGGCAUUCGUAUUUCAUUGUCAGAGGUGAAAUUCUUGGAUUUAUGAAAGACGAACUUCUGCGAAAGCAUUUGCCAAGGAUGUUUUCAUUGA